Molecule: ribosomal RNA, 315 nt
Filed under: uncultured eukaryote
Lineage: Eukaryota
Description: partial 18S ribosomal RNA
Rfam family: Eukaryotic small subunit ribosomal RNA
Source: RNAcentral
CCCUUAGAUGUUCUGGGCCGCACGCGCGCUACACUGAUGCAUUCAACGAGCACCCGCUGGGCCGAGAGGUCCGGCUAAUCUUUGAACGUGCAUCGUGCUGGGGAUAGAUGAUUGCAAUUAUUCAUCUUCAACGAGGAAUUCCUAGUAAACGCAAGUCAUCAGCUUGCAUUGAUUACGUCCCUGCCCUUUGUACACACCGCCCGUCGCACCUACCGAUUGAAUGGUCCGGUGAAAUCCUCGGAUCGAGCCGUGGGGCAACUCCGGUUCGAGAAGUUGAUUAAACCUUACCAUUUAGAGGAAGGUGAAGUCGUAACA